UACACAUGCAAGUCGAACGGUGAAAGAGAGCUUGCUCUCUGGAUCAGUGGCGAACGGGUGAAGUAACACGUGAGCAAUCUGCCCCUGACUCUGGGAUAAGCGCUGGAAACGGCGUCUAAUACCGGAUACGAGCUGCGAAGGCAUCUUCAGCAGCUGGAAAGAACUUCGGUCAGGGAUGAGCUCGCGGCCUAUCAGCUAGUUGGUGAGGUAAUGGCUCACCAAGGCGUCGACGGGUAGCCGGCCUGAGAGGGUGACCGGCCACACUGGGACUGAGACACGGCCCAGACUCCUACGGGAGGCAGCAGUGGGGAAUAUUGCACAAUGGGCGCAAGCCUGAUGCAGCAACGCCGCGUGAGGGACGACGGCCUUCGGGUUGUAAACCUCUUUUAGCAGGGAAGAAGCGAAAGUGACGGUACCUGCAGAAAAAGCGCCGGCUAACUACGUGCCAGCAGCCGCGGUAAUACGUAGGGCGCAAGCGUUAUCCGGAAUUAUUGGGCGUAAAGAGCUCGUAGGCGGUUUGUCGCGUCUGCUGUGAAAACCCGAGGCUCAACCUCGGGCCUGCAGUGGGUACGGGCAGACUAGAGUGCGGUAGGGGAGAUUGGAAUUCCUGGUGUAGCGGUGGAAUGCGCAGAUAUCAGGAGGAACACCGAUGGCGAAGGCAGAUCUCUGGGCCGUAACUGACGCUGAGGAGCGAAAGGGUGGGGAGCAAACAGGCUUAGAUACCCUGGUAGUCCACCCCGUAAACGUUGGGAACUAGUUGUGGGGUCCAUUCCACGGAUUCCGUGACGCAGCUAACGCAUUAAGUUCCCCGCCUGGGGAGUACGGCCGC
Molecule: ribosomal RNA, 829 nt
Filed under: unidentified microorganism
Description: bacterial SSU rRNA
Rfam family: Bacterial small subunit ribosomal RNA
Source: RNAcentral